Molecule: non-coding RNA, 506 nt
Organism: Pelobates cultripes (western spadefoot toad)
Lineage: Eukaryota; Metazoa; Chordata; Amphibia; Anura; Pelobatidae
Source: the annotation of a GenBank genome assembly
CCUUAAGGGGUUAAUCCAAAUGCAAGGUUAACGUGAGAAUUUGAGAGUGACCUGUAGGGGUCAGUGUGGUUUAUGUGAAACAUUGUUCGUGAGCUAUGCCCCAGCAUUAUAGUUGUAUGACAGGGAAACAAACAGUGCCCGUUUGACAAUAUACAAUAAGUGAACAUAUUAGCUUAAUAACAGUCAUUGUAACAAACCAAAGUUCUGUUCGUGGGUUGUAAAUGCAUGAAGCGUGUGUGUAGUACAAUAGUAAAUGCAUGAACUAGUUCCCGUUUGGUAGAAAAUUGCACGAACCGUGAGCCUGGUAUGUCAAGGAAACAAAACGAAACGAGCAGUGAGAUUCAAAAUGCACGCACAGAAUUGCCUAGUAUGUUUAGGCAAUUGAAACAGAAUGUGUUCCCGUUUGGGAGUAUGCUAAUGCUCAAAAUGAGCCAGUGACAGAUAUAAACAAGUGAGUUUAAACGAAUGAUAUGCAUGAACAUGCAAUGGUUUUAGGACAGAUUUAG